RNAcentral lists this ribosomal RNA (460 nucleotides) under uncultured bacterium. RNAcentral's name for it is "partial 16S ribosomal RNA". It matches the Rfam family "Bacterial small subunit ribosomal RNA", at positions 338 to 795 of the family's 1533-position model. The record is from RNAcentral.
CCUACGGGAGGCAGCAGUGAGGAAUAUUGGUCAAUGGGCGCGAGACUGAACCAGCCAAGUAGCGUGAAGGAUGAAUGUCCUACGGGUUGUAAACUUCUUUUAUCAAGGAAUAAAGUCAGGCACGUGUGCCUGUUUGUGUGUACUUUAUGAAUAAGGAUCGGCUAACUCCGUGCCAGCAGCCACGGUAAUACGGAGGAUGCGAGCGUUAUCCGGAUUUAUUGGGUUUAAAGGGAGCGUAGAUGGGUUGUUAAGUCAGUUGUGAAAGUUUGGGGCUCAACCGUAAAAUGGCAAUUGAUACUGGCAGCCUUGAGUACAGUUGAGGUAGGCGGAAUUCGCGGUGUAGCGGUGAAAUGCUUAGAUAUCACGCAGAACUCCGAUUGCGAAGGCAGCAUACUAAACUGACACUGACAUUGAUGCUCGAAAGUGUGGGUAUCAAACAGGAUUAGAUACCCUUGUAGUC